GGUUGUGGCUUAGUGGUAGAGCGCUCUCCCAGCAUGGGUGAGGCCUUGGGUUUGAUUCUCAGCACCA
Molecule: transfer RNA, 67 nt
Filed under: Marmota monax (woodchuck)
Lineage: Eukaryota; Metazoa; Chordata; Mammalia; Rodentia; Sciuridae
Description: tRNA.Ala
Source: RNAcentral